GCCAGGAAUGUUGCACCCACAUUACAGGCAACGAGACACUGGGGAGCACGGGGCCUGCCGCAGGAGCUGGGCGUGUCUGCCUCCCUCCGGCGUCGGGGCUGCCUGUCCAGCGAGUCUCCAGUCCUUGUGCCGGAGUCACGGGAUAUUGCGGGAGAGCUUUUAAUUUCAAGGACCUUUUUGAAGACAGGGUGCCUGGACCCCUCAUGCCGGACCUGGCCGGGCAGAAGCCUGCAGGACUGUGUUUCCCAGGGUGCACAUGGGAAUGCCUGGGGCUAAACCACCUCCACCCUGAGAGCAGAGCAACGCUUUCUUCCUGCAGCCCCGGACCCGCCUGACCCUUCACAGCUCCGUGUCUGGCCAGCGGGUGGAGGAGGGAGGGUCCCACGGCUGGGCCUCAGAGGAGGCUUGGGGGCCCUGACCCAGGCGGGCAGGGGAUCCACAGAACAACCAACGGAGAGUAGAGAGAGACACGAGAGGUUGAAGGGGAACCUGCGUCCCUCAGAUGCCGAUACAAUACAGUGAGAGUCUGAGAUAUUAAUGAAGCCUUGAGAAUGAACAAGAACAAGAGCUGGACGAGGGAAUAGUCACUUGGUCCCUCGGUAACGGGACCCCACAUACUAUUCCCAUCCUCGACUCCCCUCCCCCGACCCCAUCUGUGGCCAGGGACCCUUACUGUCCCUGGUCCUGGGACACCCUUUCUGACACCCACCCACUCCUCCACCUCUGAAA
Long non-coding RNA from Phyllostomus hastatus (greater spear-nosed bat), 729 nucleotides. RefSeq lists it as uncharacterized. The transcript is spliced from 3 exons. NCBI's taxonomy places the organism in Eukaryota, Metazoa, Chordata, Mammalia, Chiroptera, Phyllostomidae. The record is from RefSeq and is a predicted model, not a curated record.